Molecule: RNA transcript, 2643 nt
Organism: Megalopta genalis
Lineage: Eukaryota; Metazoa; Arthropoda; Insecta; Hymenoptera; Halictidae
Gene name: popeye domain-containing protein 3
Source: RefSeq, a predicted model, not a curated record
GCGUGGGGGAUUUCGUUACAUUUGAUUAGCCGUCUUAUACAUUUCCAGGCUAUAGAUAAUCUGUCGCAGUAUAAGAGCUAUGUGGUCUGUAAUUUUUCGCGUGUCAUGUUAGUUUUUGCUAGUCAAUUUUCGAACGAACCUUAAAUUAGGGGCCGCGUGGCCUAUUUUAUCCCCUUUCUGCUUCCCAGUUCUCCACACCGUUGCCUGUACUUGUCCUUGCUAGAGUAACGUCUUUCUGCUAGUUUGACGUUCAUUAGAUAAGCAAGUUUGUUUCGUUUUCGUGUACGAGUUCAGUUUAUUUCAACUAUCAUAUCACUCGACGUCACCGUUGAUUUUUUCAUCUGUAUGCCUUGCGUACGCUCUCAUCUUUCCAAAUUUUCCAUGAAUGUUUCUAUAGUCUUCCCGCAGCUGUUGGUAAUGCAAAUACCCUUCCUCAAUUUGAAAUCUACAAGAUGGUAUUUGUCUUCAAGCUCUAAUUUUAGCUGAGAGUAGAAUGUGAACGAUGAUAGGACAUUUGCGAGUGACACAUAGCAUUCACUUUUAAUAUCUUCUAUGAAUAAAGUUGAAAAACAUUUGUUUUGAUGUUACAGAGUAAGACGAAAUUGAUUUAGUUUGGUGGUGAUGCUGGGAUGUGGAUCUGUUUUGAUCCUAUAGGAAGCCGAGAAGGCUGGCGUGCUUCUAUUUUAUUCCUUGUAUUCUUCUCUGGGACAUAUUUUGGUAUUGAUGCCAGCUUAACGAAUGCAGCUGCAUCUAAUGUUCCUCAUAAUACUGUCACAUCAGAAGUAUCACUACCAAUUUCAACACAUCAUGAAAACGACGAAUGUAGGAAUGUGACCACUGAUAAUAGAGCGGCUACUGGUCUAUCAGUGGUCAGUCAUGGAUCUGGUUCUCCACAUUCGCCGAUAGUGCCUCCAACUUUUCUGUACGGAGUUCUUACCUGCCAACCUUAUCAAGGAAUUUCUGUGAACCACAUCUACUUUCAACUAGCAAAUGCCUUCUUUCUAUUGUCACACCUUGCACCAAGUGGCAUACAUGGUGUACUCUAUUUAAGGUGCACUCUACUCGUGGGCUGUGCCUUUCUUGCUUUGUGGGGCUGGACAAUAGCUUGCUGGCUGGACGCUGCUCUCUGGAAUGUUCUGUUUGUUGCCAUCAACUUCGUCCAUGUAUGCACGCUUCUUUACAAGCUCAGGCCUAUCAAGUUUCCAAGGGAAGUUGAAGAGGUAUAUAUUGCAGUGUUCCAGCCGUUAAGGGUAUCACGUCAACAGUUUAAAAAAGUAUUAAAUUGUAUGAAGGUUAUACGACAGUUGAAAUAUCAAGAAGUUUAUGCCCAAGAAAAAGUGACAAAAGUUGAUUCUUUAUCUUUGGUACUUUCUGGAAAAUUAGUAGUAUCACAAAAUGGAAGAGCAUUACACAUUGUCUUCCCACAUCAGUUCCUGGAUUCUCCAGAAUGGUUUGGUGUCUCCACGGACGAUUACUUUCAGGUAUCAAUAACAGCUAUGGUAGAAUCAAGAAUAUUAUUAUGGCAUAGAGACAAGUUAAAGUUAAGCAUAAUUAGUGAUCAAUUUCUGCAGGCAGUGUUUGAUCAUAUUUUGGGAAGGGAUGUAGUAAAAAAAUUAAUGCAGGUCAGUGAAACAAUGGCUGCUAGUAGUCACCAACAACAAAAUGGACAAGUAAUUGGUUUGAGUGGUAUUGGAGCCUUAGAAAACGAUCCUGACACCAAACUUUUCGUUGUGAAAAAGACUGGUGAUAGUCAAGGUAUCACUGCUCUCAUCAGUCGUCAACUUCAAGAAGAGAGAAUGCCGCUGCUGUACACGACUCAGGAAGUGCUGAACAACACUUUGCAUCAUAUCAAUCACCUACGUACACCUCCCUUAGAUCCUGUGCAACACAAUAAUGUUCAGUCUUCCUUGUAAUAUCCCUGUGACACAGGCUGUGCAAUUACCCUAGCACAAAUUUGUACGUGAUGUAUAUGUAUUAUGUUUCUACAAUGGAUAUCCCAUAUAUUAUACAAAUAUCAUCGGGUAACUUCAUUUGUUAUUUUCUUCUGGUUAUUGUAUUCAGCAGCUGGAGAUCCAAAUGCAUGGAGAUUGGGAAGAAUUGAAGAGACUGAUCAUGAAACUCCUGUUUAAUGAAAUGAUUGUUAGAUGAGUGUCAUCCUCGACAGUCAAUAUAAAAAAAAGCAACAUCGGUCUUUUUACAUAACGAUGAAAUGUAUUCGACAUCAUUGAAAAACAUGGCAUGGUAUGCUAUGCGUGGAACAAUUCAACAUUCUCUUGCCAAUUAAUAAUUUCUCCCACAACUAGUCAAGUAUUAUUAAUAACUGAAAAAAAAACAAGAGCAUUUCAUCGUUUAUAGAGCAUAAUGGUUCCAUCCUAGUUUAUAAAAACGACGUACGAUAAAAGAAAAGAUAUUACUUUAUGCUUCCAAUGUAUUAUUGAAUACCACCAAGUUGAUUUAAGAGUGGCUGUUUCUAAUUUAUACUAAUUUUCCUCUUGAUAUACGUAUGUUUAGUACCAAACGAAAUAAGACUUUAUAUGUGUAAUAGAAUGGAAGUUGUUCGAUCGCAACGGCGUAACUUCUUUACUGAGAGAACUGUGAUUUACUGGAAGUAUAUGGUAUAGAAGAAAAAACAAACAAAUUAGA